Molecule: long non-coding RNA, 740 nt
Organism: Homo sapiens (human)
Lineage: Eukaryota; Metazoa; Chordata; Mammalia; Primates; Hominidae
Gene: PDS5B-DT
Product: PDS5B divergent transcript
Exons: 3
Source: RefSeq, a predicted model, not a curated record
CGCUCUUCGGCGGCUGCUCCAAUCGAACCGCCGCGGACAGCACCCGGGGGCAGGCAGAGCGCGGCAUGGGUGGUAGGCUGGCGGAGACAGAGUAAUUGAGCCUGUGACGAAGCAUUCCAUUCCUUUGGCAGAAUUGUCCUUAUUAGAGGAAGAAAUCAUCUGGAGACCACAGGGACACAUUCCAGGAGGGAGAAUUUGUUUCAACAAUGAACAAGCAAAGUGUGAAUGAAUGGAUUACAGUAGGAUACUUAUCAACUGAAACAAAAGAGAGGUAAUGCUGAUAUAUAAACUAAUGCUACUGUGUUAGAAAAGGUAUGUACAUCGGUAUUCCAUCGGACCCGGGCACCUAGAGAUACUGAGACCUCUUCAUUUCCAUUUUUGUGGGAUUCGCUGGACAAUUCCGCCUCAGUCUCCUCCAGUGCUUGCUAGACCAAUAUGUUGUGUUACUGUAUUCCUGUGUCCAAGAUUUUGCCACUGAAUACUCCAGGUUCUACCCAUUUUAUACAUUCCUCGAUGAAGUCUACUAUGAGUUUUUUCUGCCCUCUUUUUAAAAUUAUCUCAGGAAUUUUCUUAUUUUACAUCGUUGUUCCAUCAACAUAAAUCUUGUAUGGGAGAGUAGGAUGUCUAGAUCUAGAAAAACCUUUCCUCUUUGGUUGUUUUUAUUAUGUUUUUUACUUUAUUUUCUUCAAUUCCCAAACCUCCAAAGCCAGGAAGCCAGAAAGUUUCAGAAGAAAGCCAGG